This 500-nucleotide ribosomal RNA is filed under the name uncultured bacterium. RNAcentral describes it as "bacterial SSU rRNA". It matches the Rfam family "Bacterial small subunit ribosomal RNA", at positions 10 to 503 of the family's 1533-position model. The record is from RNAcentral.
UGUUUGAUCCUGGCUCAGGAUGAACGCUAGCGGCAGGCUUAAUACAUGCAAGUCGGACGGCAGCACGGGUAGCAAUACCUGGUGGCGAGUGGCGCACGGGUGCGUAACGCGUAUGCAACCUACCCUUAACUGAGACAUAACCUGGCGAAAGCUGGGCUAAUAUCUCAUGAGGUUAUAGAGGGGCAUCCUGAUAUAAUCAAAGCAGCGAUGUGGUUAAGGAUGGGCAUGCGUCCCAUUAGCUAGUUGGCGAGGUAACGGCUCACCAAGGCGACGAUGGGUAGGGGUUCUGAGAGGAAGGUCCCCCACACUGGUACUGAGACACGGACCAGACUCCUACGGGAGGCAGCAGUAAGGAAUAUUGGGCAAUGGUCGGAAGACUGACCCAGCCAUGCCGCGUGCAGGAAGAAGGCCCUAUGGGUUGUAAACUGCUUUAGCUCAGGGGCUAAACCUACCGAUGCGUUGGUAGCUGAAGUACCUGGAGAAUAAGCAUCGUACUCCUG